RNAcentral lists this ribosomal RNA (600 nucleotides) under uncultured archaeon. RNAcentral's name for it is "bacterial SSU rRNA". It matches the Rfam family "Archaeal small subunit ribosomal RNA", at positions 83 to 686 of the family's 1478-position model. The record is from RNAcentral.
GGACGGCUCAGUAACACGUGGCUAACCUACCCUCGGGUGGGGGAUAACCUCGGGAAACUGAGGAUAAUACCCCAUAGGAGAAGAGGUCUGGAAUGAUCCUUCUCUGAAAACAUAUGUGCCCGAGGAUGGGGCUGCGUCUGAUUAGGUAGUUGGUGGGGUAACGGCCCACUAAGCCUACGAUCAGUACGGGCCUUGAGAGAGGCAGCCCGGAGAUGGGGACUGAGGCACGGCCCCAGGCCCUACGGGGCGCAGCAGGCGCGAAACCUCCGCAAUGCACGAAAGUGCGACGGGGGGACCCCAAGUGCUUACGCACUGCGUAGGCUUUUCUAAAGUGUAAAAAGCUUUAGGAAUAAGGGCUGGGCAAGUCCGGUGCCAGCAGCCGCGGUAACACCGGCGGCCCGAGUGGUGACCACUUUUAUUGGGCCUAAAGCGUCCGUAGCCGGUCCAGUAAGUCCCUGUUUAAAUCCUACGGCUUAACCGUAGGGCUGGCAGGGAUACUGCUGGACUUGGGACCGGGAGAGGGCGAGGGUACUUCAGGGGUAGCGGUGAAAUGUGUUGAUCCCUGGAGGACCACCUAUGGCGAAGGCACUCGCCUGGAAC